RNAcentral lists this ribosomal RNA (440 nucleotides) under uncultured bacterium. RNAcentral describes it as "bacterial SSU rRNA". It matches the Rfam family "Bacterial small subunit ribosomal RNA", at positions 954 to 1392 of the family's 1533-position model. The record is from RNAcentral.
GCUUAACGCGAAGAACCUUACCUGGCCUUGACAUGCCACCAACGAAGCAGAGAUGCAUUAGGUGCCCGUAAGGGAAAGUGGACACAGGUGCUGCAUGGCUGUCGUCAGCUCGUGUCGUGAGAUGUUGGGUUAAGUCCCGCAACGAGCGCAACCCUUGCCAUUAAUUGCCAUCAUUUAGUUGGGCACUUUAAUGGGACUGCCGGUGACAAACCGGAGGAAGGUGGGGAUGACGUCAAGUCCUCAUGGCCCUUAUGGCCAGGGCUUCACACGUAAUACAAUGGUCGGUACAGAGAGUUGCCAAGCCGCGAGGUGGAGCUAAUCUCAGAAAGCCUAUCGUAGUCCGGAUUGUUCUCUGCAACUCGAGAGCAUGGAGUCGGAAUCGCUAGUAAUCGCGGGUCAGCAUGUCGCGGUGAAUACGUUCCCGGGUCUUGUACACACCG